GUGCGGCGUGCCUAAUACAUGCAAGUAGAACGCUGAAGAGAGGAGCUUGCUCUUCUUGGAUGAGUUGCGAACGGGUGAGUAACGCGUAGGUAACCUGCCUUGUAGCGGGGGAUAACUAUUGGAAACGAUAGCUAAUACCGCAUAACAAUGGAUGACACAUGUCAUUUAUUUGAAAGGGGCAAUUGCUCCACUACAAGAUGGACCUGCGUUGUAUUAGCUAGUAGGUGAGGUAACGGCUCACCUAGGCGACGAUACAUAGCCGACCUGAGAGGGUGAUCGGCCACACUGGGACUGAGACACGGCCCAGACUCCUACGGGAGGCAGCAGUAGGGAAUCUUCGGCAAUGGGGGCAACCCUGACCGAGCAACGCCGCGUGAGUGAAGAAGGUUUUCGGAUCGUAAAGCUCUGUUGUAAGUCAAGAACGAGUGUGAGAGUGGAAAGUUCACACUGUGACGGUAGCUUACCAGAAAGGGACGGCUAACUACGUGCCAGCAGCCGCGGUAAUACGUAGGUCCCGAGCGUUGUCCGGAUUUAUUGGGCGUAAAGCGAGCGCAGGCGGUUUGAUAAGUCUGAAGUUAAAGGCUGUGGCUCAACCAUAGUUCGCUUUGGAAACUGUCAAACUUGAGUGCAGAAGGGGAGAGUGGAAUUCCAUGUGUAGCGGUGAAAUGCGUAGAUAUAUGGAGGAACACCGGUGGCGAAAGCGGCUCUCUGGUCUGUAACUGACGCUGAGGCUCGAAAGCGUGGGGAGCGAACAGGAUUAGAUACCCUGGUAGUCCACGCCGUAAACGAUGAGUGCUAGGUGUUGGAUCCUUUCCGGGAUUCAGUGCCGCAGCUAACGCAUUAAGCACUCCGCCUGGGGAGUACGACCGCAAGGUUGAAACUCAAAGGAAUUGACGGGGGCCCGCACAAGCGGUGGAGCAUGUGGUUUAAUUCGAAGCAACGCGAAGAACCUUACCAGGUCUUGACAUCCCGAUGCUAUUUCUAGAGAUAGAAAGUUACUUCGGUACAUCGGUGACAGGUGGUGCAUGGUUGUCGUCAGCUCGUGUCGUGAGAUGUUGGGUUAAGUCCCGCAACGAGCGCAACCCCUAUUGUUAGUUGCCAUCAUUCAGUUGGGCACUCUAGCGAGACUGCCGGUAAUAAACCGGAGGAAGGUGGGGAUGACGUCAAAUCAUCAUGCCCCUUAUGACCUGGGCUACACACGUGCUACAAUGGUUGGUACAACGAGUUGCGAGUCGGUGACGGCAAGCUAAUCUCUUAAAGCCAAUCUCAGUUCGGAUUGUAGGCUGCAACUCGCCUACAUGAAGUCGGAAUCGCUAGUAAUCGCGGAUCAGCACGCCGCGGUGAAUACGUUCCCGGGCCUUGUACACACCGCCCGUCACACCACGAGAGUUUGUAACACCCGAAGUCGGUGAGGUAACCUUUUGGAGCCAGCCGCCUAAGGUGGGAUAGAUGAUUGGGGUG
RNAcentral lists this ribosomal RNA (1461 nucleotides) under uncultured organism. RNAcentral describes it as "SSU rRNA". It matches the Rfam family "Bacterial small subunit ribosomal RNA". The record is from RNAcentral.